This 468-nucleotide ribosomal RNA is filed under the name uncultured bacterium. Its description in RNAcentral is "partial 16S ribosomal RNA". It matches the Rfam family "Bacterial small subunit ribosomal RNA", at positions 28 to 507 of the family's 1533-position model. The record is from RNAcentral.
GACGAACGCUGGCGGCGUGCUUAACACAUGCAAGUCGAACGGAAAGGCCCUGCUUUUGUGGGGUGCUCGAGUGGCGAACGGGUGAGUAACACGUGAGUAACCUGCCCUUGACUUUGGGAUAACUUCAGGAAACUGGGGCUAAUACCGGAUAGGAGCUCCUGCUGCAUGGUGGGGGUUGGAAAGUUUCGGCGGUUGGGGAUGGACUCGCGGCCUAUCAGCUUGUUGGUGGGGUAGUGGCCUACCAGGGCUUUGACGGGUAGCCGGCCUGAGAGGGUGACCGGCCACAUUGGGACUGAGAUACGGCCCAGACUCCUACGGGAGGCAGCAGUGGGGAAUAUUGCACAAUGGGCGGAAGCCUGAUGCAGCAACGCCGCGUGCGGGAUGACGGCCUUCGGGUUGUAAACCGCUUUCGCCUGUGACGAAGCGUGAGUGACGGUAAUGGGUAAAGAAGCACCGGCUAACUACGUG